AUUGAACGCUGGCGGCAGGCCUAACACAUGCAAGUCGAGCGGAUGAAGGGAGCUUGCUCCUGGAUUCAGCGGCGGACGGGUGAGUAAUGCCUAGGAAUCUGCCUGGUAGUGGGGGAUAACGUCCGGAAACGGGCGCCAAUACCGCAAACGUCCUGAGGGAGAAAGUGGGGGAUCUUCGGACCUCACGCUAUCAGAUGAGCCUAGGUCGGAUUAGCUAGUUGGUGGGGUAAUGGCCUACCAAGGCGACGAUCCGUAACUGGUCUGAGAGGAUGAUCAGUCACACUGGGACUGGGACACGGUCCAGGCUCCUACGGGAGGCAGCAGUGGGGAAUAUUGGACAAUGGGCGAAAGCCUGAUCCAGCCAUGCCGCGUGUGUGAAGAAGGUCUUCGGAUUGUAAAGCACUUUAAGUUGGGAGGAAGGGCAGUAAGUUAAUACCUUGCUGUUUUGACGUUACCAACAGAAUAAGCACCGGCUAACUUCGUG
This 484-nucleotide ribosomal RNA is filed under the name uncultured bacterium. RNAcentral's name for it is "partial 16S ribosomal RNA". It matches the Rfam family "Bacterial small subunit ribosomal RNA", at positions 30 to 507 of the family's 1533-position model. The record is from RNAcentral.